UGCUGGUCUGAUGGUAGUGGGUUUUCCAAAUUUAUUAACAUUAGUUCAGUAAAGUUGGUAUAGAACCCCCACUGCUAAAUUUGGCUAAAAA
This 91-nucleotide non-coding RNA is filed under the name Castor canadensis (American beaver). The record is from RNAcentral. Lineage: Eukaryota; Metazoa; Chordata; Mammalia; Rodentia; Castoridae.